RNAcentral lists this unclassified non-coding RNA (327 nucleotides) under soil metagenome. RNAcentral describes it as "partial contains 5.8S ribosomal RNA, internal transcribed spacer 2, and large subunit ribosomal RNA". The stretch from base 1 to 120 matches the Rfam family "5.8S ribosomal RNA", at positions 35 to 154 of the family's 154-position model. The record is from RNAcentral.
GAUGAAGAACGCAGCGAAAUGCGAUAAGUAAUGUGAAUUGCAGAAUUCAGUGAAUCAUCGAAUCUUUGAACGCACAUUGCGCCUCUUGGUAUUCCGGGGGGCAUGCCUGUUCGAGCGUCAUUUCAACCCUCAAGCUCAGCUUGGUAUUGAGUCCAUGUCAGUAAUGGCAGGCUCUAAAAUCAGUGGCGGCGCCGCUGGGUCCUGAACGUAGUAAUAUCUCUCGUUACAGGUUCUCGGUGUGCUUCUGCCAAAACCCAAAUUUUCUAUGGUUGACCUCGGAUCAGGUAGGGAUACCCGCUGAACUUAAGCAUAUCAAUAAGCGGAGGA